UAAUACAGAGGGGGCAAGCGUUGUUCGGAAUUACUGGGCGUAAAGGGCGCGUAGGCGGCCACCUAAGUCAGACGUGAAAUCCCUCGGCUCAACCGGGGAACUGCGUCUGAUACUGGGUGGCUUGAAUUCGGGAGAGGAAUGCGGAAUUCCAGGUGUAGCGGUGAAAUGCGUAGAUAUCUGGAGGAACACCGGUGGCGAAGGCGGCAUUCUGGACCGACAUUGACGCUGAGGCGCGAAAGCCAGGGGAGCAAACGGGAUUAGAUACCCCGGUAGUCCUGGCCCUAAACGAUGAAUGCUUGGUGUGGCGGGUAUCGAUCCCUGCCGUGCCGAAGCUAACGCAUUAAGCAUUCCGCCUGGGGAGUACGGUCGCAAGGCUG
This 377-nucleotide ribosomal RNA is filed under the name uncultured bacterium. Its description in RNAcentral is "bacterial SSU rRNA". It matches the Rfam family "Bacterial small subunit ribosomal RNA", at positions 521 to 896 of the family's 1533-position model. The record is from RNAcentral.